GCAAACUUGGUCAUUUAGAGGAAGUAAAAGUCGUAACAAGGUUUCCGUAGGUGAACCUGCGGAAGGAUCAUUAACAAUUGUCCGCUUUCAUGGAUAAUUACAUAUCCAUAUCCACCUUGUGUGCAUCAUUGAACCGUUUGUUGGCAGGUUUUCAGGCUCACGGAGCCUGUUGGAGUUGUGCGCUCGGCCUGCCAAUUUUAUGUAUAAACCAUGUCUAAAUACUGCUUGUCUGAAAUUGUUUUAUUACAAUAAAUACAACUUUCAACAACGGAUCUCUUGGCUCUCGCAUCGAUGAAGAACGCAGC
Molecule: unclassified non-coding RNA, 305 nt
Filed under: uncultured fungus
Lineage: Eukaryota; Fungi
Description: partial contains small subunit ribosomal RNA, internal transcribed spacer 1, and 5.8S ribosomal RNA
Rfam family: Eukaryotic small subunit ribosomal RNA (bases 1-73)
Source: RNAcentral